UGCUCUGAGCCCAGCUCUCUGCUCCCUGCCCCAGCCACCCCUUGGGACUUCACCCCUCUCUUUUCCAGCAUCCCAGGAGGGUUUAUCCAUGUAGAUGACAGGGAGCAGGGUCGGCUGGGGACGGGCCAAGCCCUGGGGACAUCUGUCUGCAAACACAUGGGAGCAGAGAGGGGAAGGAGAGCCCAUGGGAGAGGUUUCUGGCCCCGACAUGGGGAAUCUCACAGGGACCUUUGAGAUAUGGAACAGCUUGCGGCUCCUCGCAGGGAGAUUUGCAGUUGAAAGGUCAAAGCUGUUUCUGGUUCUCCUUAUCAGCAUUGGCCGAGCAAGAAGGAAACCUUUCACCAUCUGGGUCGGGUAGGGGAGGUCAUGCCGGGGACAGAGCACCGGGGCACCAGGGAUCCGGAGAUGAGACGCCGAUGGCAGAAGGUGGGAAGAAACCCGAGAGACAGGAAUUAUGCCCUAUCUCCACCCUACAGCAAGGCCACGGAGGGGAAGGUUACCCUUUCCACCACCCUGGCAGGACCCGUGGUCCUAUCCGCUGGAGAACUAGAGGCAGUGGGACACAGUGGUUUGGGGGAUACCAUUGCCCAAAGGGGAUUUGGUUGACCCCACUGGUGGCCACUCAGCUCCCUGGACCUGUUCCAUGACCCUCCCAGCGCUGCUGGGUUUGGUUUGGCUUGCGCCAUUGACAUACGUGAAGACCCAUGUUGGGUUUAGGUGCUGGGACCCCUCCAGAACUCCGCAGAGACGUGGUGGUGGCUGGGCACAAAACCCCCCAGAAAAGCCAAGAAGCAGUGUUUGCUUUACAAGACCCAGAUCUCCUGAGCCUAAACAGGGUCCUGACCCUGAUAGACAAGUUCCUCCACAGCCAAGCAACAUGAUGUGUGUCCAACCCAACUCCUUGGUCUUCAGCCCAAACAGCCAAUUGCUAGAAGUAUCUCCCAACAACAGCAAAGCUUAAAUGCUGCUGGUCUCAGCUCUUACCCAACCCUGCCUUGUUCUUUGCCUUCAUCCCCCUCUUUCCACUGAUCCAUCCAUCCAUGCAUCCAUCCAUCCUGGACCCUAGCACCACAGUGCCCAUCCAACCAGUGCUCUGAGCUGUUGGGCACUUUGAUCUCCCCUUUCCCUGCUCCUGCCUGCCUCCCUUCCCCGCUCCUUCCUGUUUCCCACACGAGCUGGUCCUCACACACCUUAAAUCAGCCAACCCAGCCAGGCUGGGAGCUGGGGCAGGCGUAACAGAACGGUGGGAAGUUAAGAAGCCUUGACAGCCCAUCUGGUUUUUGCACGACUCCCCCGGUGCUCUCGGCAUUGUCACCUUUCAUUCAUCCUGACAGGUACAGAGAUCACCACCAGCCCGACCUCCUGAAGUCUUGACAUGAACAAUCCCGUUACGGAAAUACAAGAGCUCCUGCUGAUGUGCCUUUGGUGAAAGCAAAACUCUCUGCAAAGCCCUUGGCUGGGAGGAGUGGGAAGCACAUGGUGAGGAGGGAAAAAACACCCCGAGAUGCAUGAAAGAGGCUCCUUGGAGUCAACCUCACCUCCCCGGGCUUCCCCCGGUUGUAAAGACAGCCAAGCAUGAUCAACCCCUCAG
Long non-coding RNA from Athene cunicularia (burrowing owl), 1591 nucleotides. RefSeq lists it as uncharacterized. The record is from RefSeq and is a predicted model, not a curated record. NCBI's taxonomy places the organism in Eukaryota, Metazoa, Chordata, Aves, Strigiformes, Strigidae. The transcript is spliced from 2 exons.